GAUGAACGCUGGCGGCGUGCUUAACACAUGCAAGUCGAACGAAGCACUUUAUUUGAUUUCCUUCGGGACUGAUUAUUUUGUGACUGAGUGGCGGACGGGUGAGUAACGCGUGGGUAACCUGCCUUGUACAGGGGGAUAACAGUUGGAAACGGCUGCUAAUACCGCAUAAGCGCACGGCAUCGCAUGAUGCAGUGUGAAAAACUCCGGUGGUAUAAGAUGGACCCGCGUUGGAUUAGCUAGUUGGUGAGGUAACGGCCCACCAAGGCGACGAUCCAUAGCCGACCUGAGAGGGUGACCGGCCACAUUGGGACUGAGACACGGCCCAAACUCCUACGGGAGGCAGCAGUGGGGAAUAUUGCACAAUGGGCGAAAGCCUGAUGCAGCGACGCCGCGUGAGCGAAGAAGUAUUUCGGUAUGUAAAGCUCUAUCAGCAGGGAAGAUAAUGACGGUACCUGACUAAGAAGCACCGGCUAAAUACGUG
Molecule: ribosomal RNA, 481 nt
Filed under: uncultured bacterium
Lineage: Bacteria
Description: partial 16S ribosomal RNA
Rfam family: Bacterial small subunit ribosomal RNA
Source: RNAcentral